CGAGCUGGCCGGGCGGCCGCGUCAGUGUCGGCUCGUGGGGACAUGCGCCGCGCUGCCGAGGAAAGUCCGGACUCCGCAGGGCAGGGUGGUUGCCAACGGCAACCCGGGGUGACCCGCGGGACAGUGCCACAGAAAACAGACCGCCCCGCGCGAGCGGGGUAAGGGUGAAACGGUGGUGUAAGAGACCACCAGCGCCCCGGGUGACCGGGGUGGCUCGGUAAACCCCACCCGGAGCAAGGCCAAGAGGGCGCCGCUCGCGGUGCCUGCGCAGGCGUUCGAGGGUUGCCCGCCCGAGGCCUGCGGGUAGGCCGCUGGAGCCCGCCGGCAACGGCGGGCCGAGAUGGAUGGCCGCCGAACGGGACCGCCGUAAGGCACCCGGGAACAGGAUCCGGCUUACAGGCCAGCUCGUCCG
This 412-nucleotide RNase P RNA is filed under the name Pseudonocardiales bacterium. RNAcentral describes it as "RNase P RNA component class A". It matches the Rfam family "Bacterial RNase P class A". Rfam says of the family: Ribonuclease P (RNase P) is a ubiquitous endoribonuclease, found in archaea, bacteria and eukarya as well as chloroplasts and mitochondria. Its best characterised activity is the generation of mature 5'-ends of tRNAs by cleaving the 5'-leader elements of precursor-tRNAs. Lineage: Bacteria; Bacillati; Actinomycetota; Actinomycetes; Pseudonocardiales. The record is from RNAcentral.